This 160-nucleotide ribosomal RNA is filed under the name uncultured bacterium. RNAcentral's name for it is "partial 16S ribosomal RNA". It matches the Rfam family "Bacterial small subunit ribosomal RNA", at positions 192 to 354 of the family's 1533-position model. The record is from RNAcentral.
AGCCGGUGUGAAAAACUCCGGUGGUGUAAGAUGGACCCGCGUCUGAUUAGCUUGUUGGCGGGGUAACGGCCCACCAAGGCGACGAUCAGUAGCCGGCCUGAGAGGGCGGACGGCCACACUGGGACUGAGACACGGCCCAGACUCCUACGGAAGGCAGCAG